Molecule: ribosomal RNA, 497 nt
Filed under: uncultured bacterium
Lineage: Bacteria
Description: partial 16S ribosomal RNA
Rfam family: Bacterial small subunit ribosomal RNA
Source: RNAcentral
GGCGAACGCUGGCGGCGUGCCUAAUACAUGCCAGUUGAGCGCUGAAGGUUGGUACUUGUACCAACUGGAUGAGCAGCGAACGGGUGAGUAACGCGUGGGGAAUCUGCCUUUGAGCGGGGGACAACAUUUGGAAACGAAUGCUAAUACCGCAUAAAAACUUUAAACACAAGUUUUAAGUUUGAAAGAUGCAAUUGCAUCACUCAAAGAUGGUCCCGCGUUGUAUUAGCUAGUUGGUGAGGUAAAGGCUCACCAAGGCGAUGAUACAUAGCCGACCUGAGAGGGUGAUCGGCCACAUUGGGACUGAGACACGGCCCAAACUCCUACGGGAGGCAGCAGUAGGGAAUCUUCGGCAAUGGACGAAAGUCUGACCGAGCAACGCCGCGUGAGUGAAGAAGGUUUUCGGAUCGUAAAACUCUGUUGGUAGAGAAGAACGUUGGUGAGAGUGGAAAGCUCAUCAAGUGACGGUAACUACCCAGAAAGGGACGGCUAACUACGUG